RNAcentral lists this ribosomal RNA (433 nucleotides) under uncultured bacterium. Its description in RNAcentral is "partial 16S ribosomal RNA". It matches the Rfam family "Bacterial small subunit ribosomal RNA", at positions 29 to 507 of the family's 1533-position model. The record is from RNAcentral.
AACGAACGCUGGCGGCAGGCCUAACACAUGCAAGUCGAGCGGACCCUUCGGGGUUAGCGGCGGACGGGUGAGUAACGCGUGGGAAUAUGCCCUUCUUUACGGAAUAGUCCUGGGAAACUGGGGGUAAUACCGUAUACGCCCUUUGGGGGAAAGAUUUAUCGGGGAAGGAUUAGCCCGCGUUGGAUUAGGUAGUUGGUGGGGUAAUGGCCUACCAAGCCGACGAUCCAUAGCUGGUUUGAGAGGAUGAUCAGCCACACUGGGACUGAGACACGGCCCAGACUCCUACGGGAAGCAGCAGUGGGGAAUCUUAGACAAUGGGGGCAACCCUGAUCUAGCCAUGCCGCGUGAGUGAUGAAGGCCUUAGGGUUGUAAAGCUCUUUCAGCUGGGAAGAUAAUGACGGUACCAGCAGAAGAAGCCCCGGCUAACUCCGUG